GAUGAAGAACGUAGCGAAAUGCGAUAAGUAGUGUGAAUUGCAGAAUUCAGUGAAACAUCGAAUCUUUGAACGCACAUUGCGCCCUUUGGUAUUCCUUAGGGCAUGCCUGUUCGAGCGUCAUUUAAACCUUCAAGCUCAGCUUGGUGUUGGGUGACUGUCCGCCGCCUCCGGGCGGUCGGACUCGCCUCAAAUUGAUUGGCGGCCGGUACUUUGGCUUCGAGCGCAGCAGAAACGCGAACUCGAGGCCGUCGUCCUGGCUCCCAGAAGCUAUCUUCACAAUUUUGACCUCGGAUCAGGUAGGGAUACCCGCUGAACUUAAGCAUAUCAAUAAGCGGAGGA
Molecule: unclassified non-coding RNA, 339 nt
Filed under: soil metagenome
Description: partial contains 5.8S ribosomal RNA, internal transcribed spacer 2, and large subunit ribosomal RNA
Rfam family: 5.8S ribosomal RNA (bases 1-120)
Source: RNAcentral